UCAGCUUGUACUAGGGGUCUUUACCUAGGUAGGCUAUCACGGGUAACGGGCGGUUACCGUCGGACUGCCGGAGAAGGCGCCUGAGAGAUAGCGACUAUAUCCACGGGUAGCAGCAGGCGCGAAACUUUCCCACUCGAGACUUUCGGAGGAGGUAAUGACCAGUUCCAUUGGUGCCUUUUGGUACUGUGGAUAGGGGUACGGUUUUCCACCGUACCGAAACCUAGCAGAGGGCCAGUCUGGUGCCAGCAGCUGCGGUAAUUCCAGCUCUGCGAGUUUGCUCCCAUAUUGUUGCAGUUAAAACGCCCGUAGUCUGAAUUGGCCAGCAAUGGUCGUACGUAUUUUUACGUUCACUGUGAACAAAUCAGGACGCUUAGAGUAUGGCCACAUGAAUGACUCAGCGCAGUAUGAAGUCUUUGUUUUCUUCCGAAAACAAGCUCAAUGAGAGCCAUCGGGGGUAGAUCUAUCUCAUGACGAGUGGUGGAAUACUUUGACUCAUGAGAGAGAAGCUGAGGCGAAGGCGUCUACCUAGAGGGUUUCUGUCGAUCAAGGGCGAGAGUAGGAGUAUCCAACAGGAUUAGAGACCCUGGUAGUUCCUACCUUAAACGAUGCCGACAGGAGUUUGUCAUUUGUUAAUGGCAGAAUCUUUGGAGAAAUCAUAGUUCUUGGGCUCUGGGGGAACUACGACCGCAAGGCUGAAACUUGAAGGAAUUGACGGAAGGGCACACCAGGGGUGGAGCCUGUGGCUUAAUUUGAAUCAACACGGGGAAACUUACCAGGACCAGAUGUUUUUUAUGACUGACAGGCUUCGGGUCUUUCAGGAUAUUGUUUUUGGUGGUGCAUGGCCGUUGGUGGUGCGUGGGUUGACCUGUCUAGCGUUGAUUCAGCUAACGAGCGAGAUUAUCGCCAAUUAUUUACUUUGCCGAAGUCCUUCG
RNAcentral lists this non-coding RNA (932 nucleotides) under Trichomonas vaginalis G3. RNAcentral describes it as "Eukaryotic small subunit ribosomal RNA". It matches the Rfam family "Eukaryotic small subunit ribosomal RNA", at positions 315 to 1375 of the family's 1831-position model. The record is from Rfam by way of RNAcentral. Lineage: Eukaryota; Parabasalia; Trichomonadida; Trichomonadidae.